CUCCCAAACACAAAUCCUGCAUGGAGGGUCUGAACAAAGAAACACAGACAGAUCAGACCAAGUCUUCCAACACGUUUGUUAAACAUCUGUGGGCACUGAAACUGAUUCACCCUUUCUGCUGGAGAAGACCUGGAGCUUGUUAAAUCCUCUGCUGUUUCACCUGAGCAUCUUCAGAAGACUGUUAAUAAAGGACUUUUAUAGCGAAUCUGUGUGAGAUGCUACACUCAGCACGGACUUUCCUUGAUGGAUCUAUGACCUCUGAGGGAAUUUAAAACCCGCUGCAGUCAGUGAUGGGAAGUUUCAUCGCUUCAGUUUGAGAACGUCACAACAGCAAAGCUUUCACCUGAGAACAGACUGGACUUCUGCACCAGGCAGCGAGAGACAGUCGGGGAAGUGACAGCUUUCACAGCGUGGUAGCUCAGCCUCACCAACAGUUAUGGAAGCAGCACCUAUCAAUCCCAGAACUCAUCCGGCAGUGCAUUUGCAUCCGUCGUCAGGCUGCCAUCCUCAAACUUCCAAACUUGCUGUUUGCAGAAGUUUAAACUCGCCGUCUUCUGAAGCUAUUUUGAACUGCAGCUGCCAAUUAUCCUGCCCUCGCUCAUGUUCACCUGCGAUGCCAAGUGACACAAGGCUAUGCUAUGGAGGCUGCAUAUACAGUCCAGCAGUCUUGACACAUCACUGGCAAACUGACAGAAUGUGACAUAUGGGACGAGGUUUGCACUGCAUCACCUGUGGCAUCCAAUGGGGGAAUGAAGACGGCACUUCAAACAUUAAGGCCACAAAACAACACAGCACACAGAGUGAGAGAGAGAGAGAGAGAGAGAGAGAGAGAGCAGGCUGCUGCUGCUUCUUCUUCUUCUUUCCAGAUCCACAAACAAAGAUAAAGUCCUUUCAUGCCAAAGAUCUCUAUUCCUGCCUCUCUCUUUUGCUCAGAGGGGUGUGUAAAAAGACGCUUUGCAUAAUCCGUCCGCAUCAGUAUGCAGUGAGCUUUAGAGAGACGGAGUAAACAGGAUUCCCCCUGGCUGUUGCUUUCACCUGCUGGAGGUGGACGGCACAAACCAAGGCCACAUUCCCAGAGCUAAAGGCUUUUCAUGCCAAGCACCAGGUUUUUCAGCUGAAAAAAAACUUACACAGCAAUGAAUUAAAUAUGACUUGAUGAAUACCAUAUGACUGUUUGUGCAAAGCCUGCAAAAAUAUUUAUGAGGGGAAAAAAUUGCGAUCAUCACACUUUUUUCUGUGAAUUUUUUUGAAUUUUGAAUCAGUCGGACACGCAUGGGGCGACUCCGGAUUCCUGUUUUGCAUGGAUUUAAAAUGCUCAACACUCCCAUGGCUUGCAUUUGCUAUUUGUUAUUUGUACUUCGCUGUUGUUAAUUCAUGUAGGCGUUCAUGAAACUGCUUUCCAACUGUCUGAUCCUCAUGUUGGCCAAACGUCUCAAACCUCGUCUCAUCUGUUCUUCCUAACAUGCCGGCUUUCAUUUUUUUAUUUGGCUGUAACUGUAAAGUUCACUGAUUUUUACUUCUUUCCCUCCACUUUGGUUUUCCAUUUAUUUACACCUUAGCAAGCUCUUUCCUUUGCUCCACCUGACCACCUCUCAUAUAUUCCAAUCUCUAACAACAG
Long non-coding RNA from Amphiprion ocellaris (clown anemonefish), 1618 nucleotides. The record is from Ensembl. NCBI's taxonomy places the organism in Eukaryota, Metazoa, Chordata, Actinopteri, Pomacentridae.